UACGUAGGGGGCAAGCGUUGUCCGGAAUCAUUGGGCGUAAAGAGCGCGCAGGCGGUCGAAUAAGUCGAAUGUGAAAGCCCCCGGCUUAACUGGGGAGGGUCAUUCGAUACUGCUCGACUUGAAGGCAGGAGAGGGUAGUGGAAUUCCCGGUGUAGUGGUGAAAUGCGUAGAUAUCGGGAGGAACACCAGUGGCGAAGGCGACUACCUGGCCUGUUCUUGACGCUGAGGCGCGAAAGCUGGGGGAGCAAACGGG
This 253-nucleotide ribosomal RNA is filed under the name uncultured bacterium. Its description in RNAcentral is "partial 16S ribosomal RNA". It matches the Rfam family "Bacterial small subunit ribosomal RNA", at positions 524 to 776 of the family's 1533-position model. The record is from RNAcentral.